UAAAUAAGAAACAAAUUAUUGUAUUUAGUUUCGACCUAACCUUUGGUGGCACCACCCUUAUUU
This 63-nucleotide transfer RNA is filed under the name Staphylininae sp. 1 ACP-2013. RNAcentral's name for it is "tRNA-Arg". Lineage: Eukaryota; Metazoa; Arthropoda; Insecta; Coleoptera; Staphylinidae. The record is from RNAcentral.